GGCGUAAGCGCACGCAGGCGGUUUGUUAAGUCAGAUGUGAAAUCCCCGGGCUCAACCUGGGAACUGCAUCUGAUACUGGCAAGCUUGAGUCUCGUAGAGGGGGGUAGAAUUCCAGGUGUAGCGGUGAAAUGCGUAGAGAUCUGGAGGAAUACCGGUGGCGAAGGCGGCCCCCUGGACGAAGACUGACGCUCAGGUGCGAAAGCGUGGGGAGCAAACAGGAUUAGAUACCCUGGUAGUCCACGCCGUAAACGAUGUCGACUUGGAGGUUGUGCCCUUGAGGCGUGGCUUCCGGAGCUAACGCGUUAAGUCGACCGCCUGGGGAGUACGGCCGCAAGGUUAAAACUCAAAUGAAUU
RNAcentral lists this ribosomal RNA (354 nucleotides) under uncultured Shigella sp. RNAcentral's name for it is "bacterial SSU rRNA". It matches the Rfam family "Bacterial small subunit ribosomal RNA", at positions 557 to 911 of the family's 1533-position model. Lineage: Bacteria; Pseudomonadati; Pseudomonadota; Gammaproteobacteria; Enterobacterales; Enterobacteriaceae. The record is from RNAcentral.